This 38828-nucleotide long non-coding RNA is filed under the name Durio zibethinus. RNAcentral describes it as "long non-coding RNA (DZIB_LNC001635)". The record is from RNAcentral. Lineage: Eukaryota; Viridiplantae; Streptophyta; Magnoliopsida; Malvales; Malvaceae.
CUUAACAAAUAAGAAGUUAGAAACUAAUUAGAUGUACAAUUUUUUUAUGCUAAUAUAAUUUUUCUAUUGAAUUUAUUAAAGGAUCUAAUAAUGUUCAUGUUGAUUUUUUUAGCAAACCAAAUAGAUAAGGCAAAAAACCUCUUGCUGUCGGGCUUGCUUCUAUUGGACCUGGAGUUGGUCAAGGUACUGCUGUAGAAGGUAUCGCGAGACAACCCGAGGCAGAGGGAAAAAUACGAGGUACUUUAUUGCUUAGUUUGGCUUUUAUGGAAGCUUUAACAAUUUAUGGGCUGGUUGUAGCAUUGGCACUUUUAUUUGCGAAUCCCUUUGUUUAAUCCUAUAAACAUGAGAAUUGUGUAUUUUUUUUUUCUUAUUUUAUGGCUUGGGACUUACUCCUCGCUUUUUCGAAUUAUAUCAAGAUUUCACCCCUACAAUUACUUAUUUGUUGGGACAAUAAUCCAUGGGAAGGAUUAAUUUGAGGAUGAGGAAUUAUCACACUGACUCGCUUUCUUCCUUCCCCUUCUUAGUUCAAGAGAAACCUUUUAGCAAUAAAGACAAUGAAUCACCAUUCCAAAGAAACAAUAUAAAUAAAAGAUUUCUUCUCAAAAUUCUAAUUUAGGAUUAUCGUAUCCUACUCUUUGUAGACCACAAAUCUCUUAUCUUAGUUCAAGAUAUCUUUAUUCUCCUCAAACAUAUUUUUUUCCCUACAACCUUCACUAUAAUCAAUAAUAGAACUUGUUCAAGUUCCCAACAUUUCUCAAUUUUUGCAUAUCAAAACCAAUGAACACCUAUUUUAUAUUUUGAAAUUCUCGAGAGAACUUCAUAAUAUAGUUUACAUAGUUUAUAAAUAUAAACUAUAUUUUUUUCUAAAACAUAAAUUUCAUAGGUAUUAUUAAACACAUAGAAAAUUUUAAACAACAAACGUGAAUUCUAAAAAUUAAAAAAAAAAAGCUUAAAAUUGAGGAAAUUUAAAAUGUAAUUAUUAAUUCAAUUAAAUAUUCUUUACAAAAAAUUGAAAAUCUGGAAAAUCUAGAAGUAGUUGAAAAUGCCCAAAUUUGACAAGUUUUUUUCUCACACUUUCUCAAAAUCCAAACAAAAUAAGAAAUUGAGGUAAAACAUUUGUGAAUAGUACUCUUAUUGCUCGAAUUUCAAAAGAGUAGAAAAGAAAAGGAUUCGGAUGCGUUAGUUUAUGGAGAAAUUAUCUUUCUCUGAAACCAAAAGGAAACAGCAGAAAGUUUUUAAUUUAAAAAGAGGGAAAAGAAACUAGGGUUUACCGAGAAUCAAAAUUUAUCUUCAAUAGAGAAGGUGACUAAAAUUUUGAGUUGCAAAAGGUUGUUUGUCUUACGUUCGUUCUAUUGAAUGAAAGUGAGAUGAUAAUAAACUGUUGUCUGUUUUAUUGAAAGAAAAGGAAAAUUAAACAAUAUUAAAAAAAAGUAAAGAAAAGAAAUUACUAGAACAUAAUUCUUAUGAAAUUGCAUUUUUUUUUAUUUUGUAAUUUUAUAUCAUGACUUUCAUUUACACAUGGGAUGUGGAAAGAAAGUCAUGUUACAUUCGGGUUCAUGGAAUCUCAUUGAUGAUAUUUUAGGCUUCUUGUUAGACUCUAUGGUAAAAUAUAUAAAUAAUCAUUUAAUUUUGAAUUAAUAUUUGAAAUAUUAUUAGUGUAAAAUUUUGAUUAUAUAUAUAUAUAUAUAUAUAUAUAUGAGAUUAAGAGGAUGACAUAUGUUCUUUAAGAUAUAUUUAAAUAAACAAAAAUUUAAUUAAAAAAAUUAAAAUAUGUAUUACUAUCUUAAUCUUAUUUGUGUAAUUAAAAUUUUAUACUGACAUUAUAUUAAAUACUAACUCUUUAAUUUUAAGGAUUUUUUAAAAUGAUAAUUUAAGCAUUAAUUUUUUAAAUUUAAUUACUUAAAUUUAAAUAAGUGCAUUUUUCACUUUGUUGUUAGUGUCUAACAAUGUAUUGAUGUAACAUUGUCACGUUAAUUGUCAAAUAUCACAAGACAUUGUCAUGUCAAUUAACAAGUCAUGUGACAUUAUAAAUUUUGAACCUGAAUGUAACAUCACUUAAUUUUUAAAAAUUUUUAUUUUGAUCAUUUAACUUUAAAAAUUUAUAAUUUGAUUACUAACAAGUAAAUCCUUAAUUUUUAUAAAAAAAUAAAUAAGAAUUUGAUAUUUUUAUUACAUAAAAUUAAAUUAUUAAAAUUUUAUUUUAUCAUAAUUAUAUCAUUUAAAUUUGAAAAAUGGGUGAAUAUUAUCUAAAUGCCAAAAUCACUAAAAUAACAUUUCUUCAAAUCUUUGUAAUUCAAUCCAUCCAAAUAAAUUCAAGUAUGUAUUUUUAUAUUUCUUAAUGUCAAAAUUCUAAUUACAAGAAAAGUUUAUAAUUUUAAUUUCAUAUAAUAAAAUAUAAAAAAGCAUAGAUCACAUAAAAUUAUUGUAAUUAUAACUUUGUCAUUAUGAAAUAUGAAAUUGAUUAAUAUUUUGGUCAUUAAAAAUUUUAUUACUAUUUUGAUUUUUGGUGUCAAUGUGGUCAUUGUCACUGUGAAUUUAUAAUGAGUUGAUUACUAAUAUUUAUAAAAUUUAAUAUAAUAAAUAUUUUAUUAUUUAUGUUACUUGCUAAAAUAUAUUAGGAUAAUACUUAAAUAAGUUAUUAAAUUUUAUAAAAAGUAGUAAUAAACAUUCAAUAUUUUUAUUACAUAAGAGUAAACUAUGAAUUUUUAUUUUAUUAUAAUUAUAUUAUUUAAAUUUGAAAACUAAAAGAAUUUUAAUCAAUUGUUAAAAUUAUUAAAAUAUUAUUAUUUUAAAUAUUUAUCAAUAGAAAAAUAAAAAAAUAUUAAUCAAUUAUUUCAAAUAAAUUUAAGUAACUAUUUUAACUUUUUAUAUUUUUGUUGUAGUGUUUGUGAAAUUUUUAAUAUUUGAAUGUCAACCUCAACGUAACUUUACAAUGAUUUAAUCACUAGCAGUUUAUGAAAUUUAAUAUAAUAAUUAUUUUAUUUUAUGUUGUUAUGGAUAUUUCCUUUAAUAUUUUAUUACAUGAAAUUAAAACUUUAACAUUAUGAAAUAUGAAAUACUUACUUGAGUUUAUUUGGCUGAAUUGAAUGACAAAAUUUUGAAGUAAUAUUAUUUUAGUAAUUUUUAAAGCGGAUAAUAUUCUUUUAUUUUUUUUAAUUUAAAUGAUAUAAUUACAAUAAAUAAAAAUUAAAAUCUAAUUUUAUGUAAUAAAAAUUUAUUUUUAAUAUUUUAUAAAAUUAAAAUUUUAUUUGUUUAUGGUCAAAUUAUAAAAUUUUAAAAUUGAGUGAUCAAAAUAAAAAUUUUUAAAAAGUUAAAUGACUAAAUUUUAUUUAUUUUUAAAUUUUAUAAUGUUACAUUAACAAUGCCACUCGGCUUGUGAUAUGACAUGGUAGUGCUACGUGGCACUUGACAACUGAUUCAGUAAUAUCAUAUCAGCAUAUUGUUAGUUAUUAAUAGUUAAGUGUCAAAAAAUACUAAUUUAAACUUAAGUGAUUAAAUUGAAAAAAUUAAUAUUUAAAUGAUCAUUUUAAAAAAAUUUUAAAAUUCAGUAAUUAUUUAGGUAUUUUAUCAUAGAAUCUAUAACAUCAAUGAUUUAUAAAUUACAACAUUUAUAACACAUUAUUAAAAGAAUAUUCCGAUAAAUUCAUCAUUUGACACAUGUCUUUUUGGAUAAAAUGAUCGUGGAGGGUAUUGCGAAUUAGGAUUUGAAUUUAUAACAUAGGAAAAGAUCUUUUUCACUAUUUCAAAAUUAGUGAAAGUUUUCAUUAAAGGUGAAUAAUGUACUUCUAAAUAAAUUUAUUAUUGAUAUUUAAUAAUUUUAAAUUAGAUAUAAAGUAAAUAAAAUUUAAUUAAAAAUGUAAAAAUAACUUGAACAAAUAUUAAUUAUAAAUUUAAUUGAAAUUGAAUUUAUCACCUUUAAAUAAAAUAAUGAAAUUUUUACUUAUUUUAAAAUAAUAAAAAUGAUCAUUUCCCAUAUUACAUAAUAACAUACUAUUAAAAGAAUCCCAAAAAAAAUUUCACUUGACAUGUAUCCUUUUGAAUAAAGAAAAAAUUUCUUUUGAUUGUGAAGGGUGUUAAAGGAUUUGGCUUAUUAGGAAUUGAAUUAAAAAAUUUAAUAAAAAUAAACAUGUAAUUAAUGCAAUAUAAAAAUAAAAUUAGAGAAAUUUUGAAAAUUUUAGAAUACUAAACAUUUGAAUAUGUAUAUUUAUCUUAUAAAUGAAUCUUAAUUAUAACUUUCAUUUUGUUGACAAGUAUCUUGAGAUACAUAUGGGUUUGUGGACAAUUUAAUAUUUUUACAAGAGUAAAUAAAUUUUUUUUGUAAUUUUUUAGAUAUUAUUAGAUGAAAUUAUUUUUUAAGAUUGUUAAUGUAAUUGAACUAUUGCAAUAAUAUUAACUUCUAUAAAUUUUUUAAAUAAAAUUAAAUAAUUAUUAAAUUUAAUUGAACAAUUUUGAUAUAUCGAUAAGAGUAGAUUGUUUUUUUGAUAAUUUUUAAAUUGUAAAUGGGAUUGAAUUAUUAAAAACUCUUAAUAUUACUAAAAACUUUUAAUUUUUAAGAAAGUUAUUAAUAUUCAAUAAUUAUCAAAUUUAAGUGAGUAAUUUUGGUAAUUAUACAAUAAUAAAUAUUUUUUUAUAAUUUUUCAAAAUUGUUAAUGGAAUUGUAUUAUUAAAAACUCUAAUAUUUUUUAAGAGCUUUUAAUUUUUCAAGAUUCUUAGAGAAUUAAAUUAUUGCAUCAUAUAUAAAAUUUUAUGAAACUUUCUAUUAACAAAAUAAUAUUGUCCCAAAGUAAAGCAAAAGGAAAUUAUCCUAGUGAAAAGUUUGGAAAAAAAAAAUCCCUUUACAGUCCAUUUUUCCUUCUCCACAUUUUGCUUGUCACUCUCCCUUUGAGCCUCUCUAUCAAAGUAUAAUUGAGUUUAUAAAAUACAAAUCUUUUCUUUAUGUGGGUCUCGGAUGCCCAAUGCUUGGCUUAGGAUUUAAUGUUAAGUAAGGGUCUACUUAGGCAAUUAUUUAUAUUUUUUUUAAUAUUUUAUUACAUGAAAUUAAAAUUAAAUCUUGACGUAAUAAAAUAUGAAAUACCUACUCGAGUUUAUUUGAUUGAACCGAAUGAUAAAAAUUUAAAGUAACAUUAUUUUAAUAAAUUUUUUAAGUAGAUAAUAUUUAUUUAUUUAUUUUAAUUUAAAUUGUAUGAUUAUAAUGAAAUAAAUAAUUUAUAAUAUAAUUUUAUGUAAUACAAAUAUCAAAUAAUUAUUCUUAAUUUUUUAUAAAAUUUAAAAACUUAUUUGUUUGUUAGUAAUUAAAUUACAAAUUUUAACAAAUUUUGUAAUAUGUUGAUUGUAAUAAUUAAAAUAAUAUAUAUUGGUUGUGAUAAUUAAAAUUAAAAUAAUAAUUUACAAAUUUAACCUAUAACACAGGCAAAGGCCAAGGCAAUCGCAGGGAGGCAAAAGGCGUCUAUUGGCAGUCCCAAAGGACUCUUUCAUCAUUUUUAAAACCCCCACUUCUCAUCUUCCUCGAAAAGCAAAAGAAAAUAAUGGCUCAUUCUGCUGUAUCCCAGGUUUUUUUUUUUUUUCUCUCUCUCUCUCUCAUUUUUUUAAUCUUAUGAUAUCUUUUGCUGCUCUUGAAUUUAUCGAAAUGGGUUUCCUUGCAAGACUGGGAUUUUGUUUUUUGUUUUUCAGAUUUCUGUAGCUGUUCCCGUUGGAAGCGACGUUUCUCUAAGGAGAUCUGUAUUUAAAAAGGUACUGGUUAAUUAGCAAUAAGGUCAGUGCAGUUUGGUUUAGUUGCAGUAAUGGAUGGUUAGAUCAUUGGAAACACGAAAAAGAGAGACGAAGGUGACGGAGUUUAAAAUUUUAGCAAAAAUCAUAUGUCGGUUUAAAAAAAAAAGUAUUUUAUGUUUUUGUGUCGACGCGAAUUAUGAUACGAAUAUAUAUAUUAUCAGUAUUUUACACUACAUGAAUAUAUGAAUUGCCAGGUUUAAGUUAGAGCAUAUGAUCUGUUACGUGUUUGAAUUUGUCAACUGAAAUUUUAUUGAUCUUAACUACUCUAAUGCACUAUUGGAGUUAGAAUUUAUGUAUGAUAUUGAAAUGCAGUUAAUGUUUUAAGUAUUGGUGUUAUCUGAGACUGAGAGUGGCCAUGAUUGGAAAAAGAAGAAUAACAUGGCCAUCUUUGCUGUAUUAUAUUACCGUGUUAAUUGUCAAAACCAACUAUACAAAUAUAAUGCCUUGCUUGUGAUUUCUUCUUUCGUGGCAAGCUUCAAUUUCCAACUUCUGCCAUGCCUCAAGGCUGAAGAAGUGUCCAUCAUGCUGCAUUUUGCCUUUACAUUGAAAUGAUAAAGCCAAAUGAUCAUCACUUCUUCUCCUUGCUUUUUUCUUUUAAUAUGUCAAAGCUGCUGACUGCAAAAGAAUCAUAUAGCUCUUUCAUAGAAUCAUAUAGCUCUUUCAUUUCUUCGUUCUUCUUUUAAAAUAUUGCUCGUACUUUUGCCACUCUUGAACAAGUUCAAAAUCCUCUAUAAUCGAAGUUGCUGAUGGUAAUUAAAUAGCUAAACAGAUCAUUGUUCUAGUGAGAUGCUAUCUGGUUUAUGCCUCUGGAAUAGGGGAGUAGGUUAUGGAUACAAGGGUGUUGAACUUCAUUUGGCAGCUCAAGUUUUCUCUUGCUUCAUUAAUUUUAUAUGGUGUUUGUCUGUUAUAAUAAUGUACUUUUCUCAUGCAUAUGCAUCUUUGAACACAUUUACAAUUGCCAAAGUGAGUAUGUUCGUCACAUGCGGCAUGUGUUGAGUGACUAAGCUUUGCCAUAGAGAAUAGUAUUAAGUGAUUUGCUUCUGAAGCUGUUUCUUUUAUAAAUAUUGUUGGUGCAAGAACUGAAAUAGAGUUGCACUAUUUACCAAGAUGGCAUGUCAGGCCCACUUCUCUUUAUCCUCUAAGUUAACCUUCCACAUGGUGUGUAUGGUAAAUUAUUCGUAAUAAAGAAGCACUUGACUUUGUUGCAGAGGAACAGUAUAAGCUUUAGUGACAAGUCAUGGGCUUCCAUCUUAUCUUUGGAUUUGAAAUCGCGAAAUGCACAGAAGAUCAAUCAGUACGUGGUAUGCAUGUCAUUGCAACAAACCAGCAAAUCCAAGGUUACAGUUUCACCUUUAGAGAUGGAAACUGCAAAAGAGCCUCCACUAAAUUUAUUCAAGCCCAAGGAACCUUACACAGCUACCAUUGUUUCUGUUGAGAGACUGGUUGGUCCAAAAGCACCAGGUGAGACUUGCCAUAUUGUGAUUGAUCAUGGUAGCAAUGUACCAUACUGGGAAGGGCAGAGCUACGGUGUUAUCCCUCCUGUAAGUCCCUCUAAUGUAAUACUUUUUUUUUUUUUUUUAACUGUUUUCAGAUAGUUUAGUGCAGUUAAUCUCUAACUCUUAUGCUUAGAAUAUUUUAACUUCAAUGCUUAUAUUAAAGUUGCAUUGAUGAUAUAUCAUGCUUGGAAUGUAGGAAUCAGAUGGUUUUUUUACUUUUGAAUAUCAGGAUCGCAAUGUUUAUUAUGGCUAAUUCUAGUUCAUUGUCAUUCUCCUGUCAUAUCCAUUAGUGGCUUUCGAUCUCAUAGAUUGAAGUCAUAUGUAUUCUUUGAACUUCUUGUUUUAGUUUCUACUUUAUAGAUUUCCUUUCUAAAAUUUCCCAUUUAUUCUCUGAUUGGAUUUUCCUUUUUUCUUUUAUUAUAGGGUGAAAAUCCAAAGAAACCAGGUUCUUCCCACAAUGUUCGUCUGUAUUCCAUUGCGUCAUCCAGGUAUGGAGAUUCUUUUGAUGGCAAGACAGCCAGUUUGUGUGUUCGACGUGCUGUCUAUUAUGACCCUGAGACCGGAAAGGAGGAUCCUUCAAAAAGAGGUGUAUGUAGCAAUUUCCUAUGCAACACCAAGCCUGGAGAUAAAGUUCAGAUCACUGGUAAGAUUCUUUAAUAAAGUGGAACAUUCAUAAUAAAGCACUGGCCUUCAACAUAUCUUGAUAUUACCAUAGGGCCAUGGCUGGAAUCACCUAGCAUACAGCUAUUGACGGUAGUAAUCAAUUGAAAAUUGCAUUACAAAAACCUAGGGUUUGGUGGUUCAGAAAACAGAGGACAGUGUUUCUCUGUUACUAACUUCUACUGUCCUGAUAGCUUUAUUAGGUCUAAUUAAUGUCUAAAGGAAUGUUCUUUUGGAUGUUCCAAUCAGAUGGUUACUGAAUUGCUUGCAUUCCAACCAAUUGUGCAUUAUUGUUUUGGUUGUUUUCCACUAAGCUUGUCUUGGCAUUAUGUUAUCAAAUACUAAUUCGUAUUUUAAUAUUUUUCUUGGUAAAGUUUGUCGAAUUAUGUUCUUUUUUUCGUUUUUUCCCCGCUUAUUGCUGUUCGUUAAAUUAUAGACUUUACAGGAAAAUUGGUGAUCAGAACUGACUAAAUAUCUCCUGUUAACUCCAGUAGAAUAUUUUUGCAGGCCCCUCUGGCAAGAUAAUGCUUUUGCCUGAAGAUAACCCAAAUGCCAACCACAUAAUGAUAGCUACUGGCACUGGUGUUGCUCCAUUCAGAGGCUACCUGCGUCGCAUGUUUAUGGAAGAUGUUACAUUCAAGUUCCGCGGACUUGCAUGGCUUUUCCUUGGAGUAGCCAAUAAUGACAGUCUCCUUUACGAUGAUGAGUUUACCAAAUACGUUCAGGACUACCCAGAUCACUUCCGAUAUGAUCGAGCUCUUAGUAGAGAGCAGAAGAACAAGAGUGGGGGCAAGAUGUAUGUUCAGGAUAAGAUUGAGGAAUACAGUGAUGAAAUUUUCAAGCUCUUGGAUGAUGGAGCACAUAUAUAUUUCUGUGGUCUUAAGGGAAUGAUGCCUGGGAUCCAAGAAACACUGAAGAGAGUUGCGGAGCAGAGAGGAGAGAGCUGGGAUGAGAAGCUUUCACAGCUCAAGAAGAACAAACAAUGGCAUGUAGAAGUCUAUUAAUUUAUUCAUGCCCUGCCUCUAAGAGAUGCAGCAAUGUAGCCAUGGUAGACAAUUUGGCAUUUUCAUUUUUUUAUGGGCUUCACACGAAAACCUUGAUUUAGCUGUCAGCAUACAUUUGUAUGAUUAAAUAAUUGAGCUAGUUUCUUGAUUAAUAUAAAACUAUUAAACAUCUCCUUUGUUUCUUCUUUCAUUAUUAUCAUUGUUCAAUGCCAUCCAACCAGAAUUAUUUUCCUCUUUAAGUUUUGAACUUUGGGUUCAACUUGGAAAAAAAUACAACCAGGUGAUUCAUGUUCUUUAGAGUUGGCAAAGCUGACUUUAAUCCAUAAAAUUUGUUUAAUUUAAGAGAAUUCAAAGCUGACUUGAAUUCUAGUUGAAUGUUAUUCAACUCGAUUUGAUAAAAAAAAAUCAAUAAUUUUAACUCAUUUAACUUGAAGAAAUCAAAAUCCUUGAUGUUGCAAUUGAAAACAUAUUUAAAAAAAAAAAAUUGUUAACGUCAAUAUAUUCCUUCAAACUUUUUCAUGGAAAAUUACAUUAUUAUUCCAAUUAGUGGAAGUAUUCAUUAGAAGUUGAAUACUUCCAAAUUUAUUUCGGUUUUAGGCAGGUUUUUGUAAAAUUAAAAAAUAAACACUUUGACAAAAAAUUUUCUUUAUUAAUUAGUACCAUAUAAUGACAACAAAUACCGCUUUAUUAAAUAGAAAAAUAAAGGUUGCAUUUCUUCCAUAGUUUUCAUCACCUUUUGGCUUUUGAAAAGCAUACCUUUUCAUUUUCUCUCUCUUUCUUACCCAAAACUCUCUCUGGAUAUCCUUGAAUUUUCAAUUUCAAUUCAGUGGUAAAUUCUCAAACACCUCUUUCAGAUCUUUCGUUUCAUUUUCAAAUUGAUUUUGACUUUGUUUUCUUUUUUUUUUCUCUAAUGAAAUUUUGAUUAUUGCUUGGCUUCGGUUAUUUAUUUGUUCAUGUAAUCCUUUCCGUUAAUGAUCAACAAACUUUUGAAUUUUGAUAUUUAAUUCACUUUCAAAUGUUUACAACUUUUAGCUGAUUUCGUGAAUAUGAAUGAUUUGCUCUUCUCUGUUUGUUGAUGGAAAAAUGAUAGGAAACGAAAAUAAAUUACAAUUUUUCUAAAUCUUUUUGGGGUUUUUUUUUUUUUUUUUUUUAUAAAAGGUAUUUCCAUAUUUCUAUUAUAAACGAUUUCAUCUCAAACACGUACUUUCUGUUUUAGAAUAUUGUUACAAUUAUUUCAUUUGACGUUUUACCUUGAUUUAUUUGUCAAUAAUUGAUUUUAUUGUUAUUAUUAUUAUUAUUCUGGUAUUUCAUUUCUCUUUAGAAUAUGCAGUCAAAAGACAAAAGGAACAGAGAAAAGUCUUAAUUUUAAGUAAAUUACAUUUAGCUGAUUUAGAUUGGUUUGUGUUUGUGUUUUUGUUAGUCUUGAAAGCUUGCUUGUUGGAUGAUUGUGGGUUGGUAGCAGAGCAAUGAGUGGAGUCAGGAAAUCUACCUCAGGUUGGUAUGCUAAUAUUACAUCAAUCAGUUCAAUAGAAUGGUUUCAAAAUGAAUUAUAGAUAGAUAGAUAGAUAAUCCUGUAAAUUUAUAAGGAAGAACAUAGGUUGGGAGUUUUUUGACUAAAUUUUGGUUAAGUUCCCUUCAAUAAUUUGCCAAAUGACAAGUUUGCCAAAUUUUUAAUUAUUAGGUAUGCAUCAUGCGUGGGACAUUUGCACACGUGGUCUCAAAGUAAUUGCAUUAGGUCUUAGCAUUAUUUUGUGGUUGGCCUGUAAAAUAAGGUGAAAAAUGUAAUGGUUUUCUUUAAGAGAGCUAAUCUUUUAGAUUUGUCUUUGUAAAGUUCAGUUGUCAACUUCUUUUCUUCACUACGAAGUGUUAAAACUUGUGUACAUAAAGGCCUAAGAUUUAGAAUGGUGGUUGAGAAUGAAGGGAGAAAUUCAUAUCCUUACUGCCACUCAUUUCUUUUUUGUUCUUCUUCUCGUUUCGGUCAUUCUUGACGAAAUUGGAUUUGCCACAAAAUACAAACACUUAUAAUCUGGUUUUGCACUGUGAUCAAACACUAAAAAGCCUAAUAGUUAAUUUUUUGGUUUUGCAUUGAGUAUAAGAGGCUAGGGAUUCCCCAAUUUGGUGAAUUGAACCUUAAUAGGCAUAAUUACAUUUGUUUUUCUGGACAACAUCUCUGUCCUCUUCCUUAAUAUGUUGAUUUUUUAAUGCAUUUUUUUGCUGAAUUUUGUGGAAAAUGUGUCUUUCCUUUGCAGCUAAUAGAAGAUUGAAGGACUUAUUGAAACAAACUGAUAAUCGCAUUUGUGCUGAUUGUGGUGCUCCAGAUCCAAAGUGGGCGUAAGUAUUACCGUUACAGCAUAUUUAGAUUUUCCUAUUCAUUUCUAUUCAUAUGAAUAGGAGAUACAGUGAUGAAUACAUGUCUCUUUGUUAUCUUUGAAGUAUGAAUUCAAUGCAAAGCUUAGAACCUAACCACAUCAAGCAUGUGUAUUUAUGUUUGAUUGUAACAUAAGGAAGGAUUAAGAAAAUCACUUGAGAAAUGUAUUUUCAGAUCAGCAAAUAUUGGUGUCUUUAUAUGCAUGAAAUGUUGCGGUGUGCACAGAAGCCUUGGUACGCACAUCUCCAAGGUGAGUACCGUAUGUUGCAUCUAGUUUAAUAUUUUUCUUCAUGGAAUCUUGACCCAUCAUUGGGGAAAUGUAUGAGGGGUUUUCCGUCGGCUGUUUAUGACAUGCAUGGUUAUAUAAUUUAUCAUAGGCAAUUUGUUAUCUGAGCUUUAGCAUGGGAAUCUUAAUAUAAUUAGAUAAAUCAGUACGAUUAGAAGAUCCAAGUAUCGGGCGAUAGGUGUGAACUUUGAUAAUAGAACCAGCGGCAUAGCUGUGAAUUUUACACAAUUGAUAUAUGAAAUGUUUCAUGAUAUAAAUGAGAAGAAAAACAAAUUUAAUCAAUUACUAUGCGAACUAAUGAGUCUAACUGCUACCCUAUUUAAGAUAACCACUGACUGAUUCAGAAUGAAUGUCUGUGUUCAUUUGCAUACUUGUGUAUCUUAAAAGCAUCCCUGGUCUUAACCUGGUCGAAGCUGGGAAGAACAUUCUUGGAUCAAGAUGAAAAUAUAAUUAUCUUGAGGAUCAAUUUCAUUUCAGCUGUUAAAUAAAUCUUGUUUCUUUUUAUUGUGUUUCCUUAUAAGCUUGUGGGAUGCGAUCAAAUUGUCAUGCAGAACUGAUACAUGGCAUAAAAGCAUUUAUCUGUCAACUGGAAUGGUAUCAGUUGGUUGUUACGAACAUAAUUCCAGUUGAAUCUUUCAUAUGUAUAACUGAAGUCAUUCACUUGUUUAUGUUAUCUUUGUAGAAUCUUUUAACUGUGGAUUGUUGUGAUGUAUUCGCCCUUUUAAAGGCUUAACUUUACAGUAUUAUGUUUUUCUUUUUACUUUUAUAGUUAUAUUAUCAUUAUUUUGACCAAAUUGAUGUCUAUAUCAUUCUUGCAAUUCCUCUUACAUAAUAUUAUAUGAUACUUUGAAACUUCAUUUUCUUGUCUUUUUGUUCUAUCCUUGUCCCUUCUUUUAUUUUUUUUUUUUAUUUUCUGAUGAUAUCAGGUUUUAUCUGUGGCAUUGGAUGAAUGGUCUGAUGAUGAAAUUGAUGCCAUGAUUGAAGUUGGAGGAAAUUCCUCUGCUAAUGCAAUCUACGAGGCCUAUAUACCUGAAGGUUAUUCAAAGCCUGGUCCUGAUGCUAGUCAUGAUGAGCGGAGGAGAUUUAUCAGGUUAGAGUUCAGACAAAUGUAGAAUCUCUCAUGUUGAGCUUUUCUUUGUCACUUCUCUUGGAUACUAUAUGUGAUCUAAACCUAUUUUCCCAUUUAUACUAUUCCUUUUCUUGGCACAUCUUUUUUGGGUUUAGAUAGAAAGGCAAUGCUUAACUACAGUAACCUAUCAUGACCUACCAUUCAACCUAUUUUAUAAUUGCUCUUUCUGUGUUUGUUCUGGAAGCAUAUAGCAGAUUUGACAGAUCAUAGCUUAGAUGUCAUAAUAAUUACUUAUUUCAAAUCUUCCUGCAGGUCCAAGUAUGAACUUCAAGAAUUUUUGAAACCUAGCUUGCGGAUAACAUCAGGGAAAAGUUCUUCUGCUUCUCAUCGAUCAAGCUUAUCUGGAAAGAUUUUGGAUAGUUUCCAGUUAAUGUCAUCACAAGAAUCGGUAAAUUCAUUUGCACUUUGUUUCUUCCAAUCUGCUUCAUUGUCUCAGGAACCUUUAGGAAGAUCGUGCUGCUAAUGAUGUAAAGAGAUAAUAUGGUCACUUGUCGAAUAGCGUGACCUGAACAUGUGGAUGGGAUCCUUCUGUUGCAUUCUGUCCAUAGGUCCAUUUUGCAUUCAGUUUUAUUUGUCUAAAUCCAUAAUUAGUGAGGGUAUAUAUUUUAUGUGCUGCUUGUUUACAUGAUGUGAGUUGGUUCGUGUUUACUAUUUUGGAAAAGUAAGUCUACUAGUAAAACCUAGCAAAGCCCCAUGUUAACUGUUGCAAGUUGUGACUGUAUUCUUCCUUACAAAAGUCAAGUCAGUAUUAACAUUAACAAUUAAAAUACCUCUAGAUGGAUUUAACUGGCUAUAUGGUGCUGUGUUUAAUAACUUCAAUCCGUUUGGCGUGAAAGUUGUAACAGGUAGGCAUGGUAGAAUUUGUUGGGUUACUGAAGGUCAAAGUGGUAAAAGGCACAGAUUUAGCCAUCCGGGAUAUGAUGACAAGUGAUCCUUAUGUUGUCUUGACUCUUGGGCAGCAGGUUAGUUGCUCCAUGUCUUAGGCUUUUAUUCUCAUUACUGAAACAGAAAAUUUCUGUCAAGGCUAUAAACUAUGUUGUUGCUACCUCUUGAUGAUCUCAAGUUGUAGACCUUUAUGAAUUAUGCACUCUUUCUCUCUAUGUGCAUUUGCAUACAUGGAUUUGUGGGCAUUUAUGCUUGUAGAUUACAUCAGUAUCAGUUCUGCAUGUGGAUCAAACUGUUAGUACCAUUCAGUCGGUUGGAUGGUGGUUCAGACUUCAGACCUCUAUUAAAGCCUUUGUUAUAUUUCAUAUAUUUUUCCUUUCAAAUUUGUGCUACAAACAUAUACCUCCUGGAUAUGCUUUACAUGUUUUCUUAUGUGUUUGUUUUCCUAUCAAAAUGAGAAUAAGGUCUAAUUGCUUUUAGUGGUACUAUUUCUUUUACUAAUGACAACAUUGGGUCUUUGAUCUUAUUAGACUGUUCAGACGACUGUAAUAAAAAGCAACUUGAAUCCAGUUUGGAAUGAGGAACUCAUGCUGUCCGUUCCUCAAAAGUAUGGGGCUGUGAAGUUGGUAAGUGUAGUUUUCUUCUCAAUCCAUGUUAUUAAGAAACUUUAUAGUUGUUUCCUCAAAAAAGAGAAAAAAAAGAAAGUUUUUAGUUGCAAAAAAGUUUACUAUUUUUUAAAGAACUAUUACGCUUUGUAUGUGUGCAAUAUUUUAGAAUCGUGGUUCUACCUAUUUAUGAAUUUCUGUAAUGGUGGUGAGGCUGAUUGGGUUGGAUUUGGUUCAAGUUAUAUGAAUUUCAUGUAUUUGGCUCUGUUUUAAGGAUUGUUAGGCUCAAGUUGGUCUGGUUUCGUGUUGGCUGGGUUUGUGUCAUUCAGGUUUUGGGUUGUUCCAGUUCAUUUUGCGUAGAUUCUGGUUCUUGAAGUUUUAAAUCAAUUUGACCUCUAUGAGAACAGUUUUUCGGUGGAUUACUUCAUACCAACUUUUGUUGCCUCUAGGUGCAUUAAAGCAGUAAUAAGGUAGGACAGUGGUGAGGUCAGGUUAUUUCAAUUUAACUUCAUUUGAGGUAUCUGGCCAUUCAUCUGAGUCAAUUCAGAUUUGGGUUGCAUUUUCAAGUUAAUAAAUUUUGAGUCAAUUUGGGCUGAAUAAGUCUGGUUUUCAACUAGUCAGAUUCAUUUGUGCCAACUCUAGUAUUAGAAAUGGAAAAUUUUCCAUCUUACUUUAAAUCCUGAAAUAUUACCUGACUUCCAGAUGUUUUGCCGCUUAGUUUGCUUCUGGACCACUUUAUAGUUUUACCUGGGAACUUUGAUGAAUUGCACAUUUUCAUGAUUACCGCCCAGCACUUUUCAGCUCUAAAAGCUUAAUGUGUACUUGACGUAUAUUUUUAUUUUCUGGCCACUCUUCCUGUUCCUUUGAUAAAAAUGAUGUGUAUUGAAGAGGAAAUAAAGGGAAAUGUAUACUGGGAUCAUGGAGCAGACCUCCUUUUGUCACUAUAUCUGAUGAAAAAGGAUGGAAUGAGAAAUGCGGGAUUGUUUGUCAUGAUUGAUUUAUUAGAAUCUGGAAAUUGGUUUGUCAUGUAGGGUCUAAUCAAGAAGCCCACAUUUAUAGGUGGUGGAUCCCUACGUAAUUCUUUGUUGUGAUUAGACAAUUGUAAUAUUGUAGUAAAAAGAAUUUUAGGUGAAAAUGCUCCCGUCCAACAGUGUAACCAACGGAUGAUAUUAUUUUAUGUUUUCCCUUAGUUAUCAAUAAAGCUAGACAUGCAUUUUAAUGCUUUACGUAAUUAUACUUUCUGUCAUUGUUUGUUGUUUAGAAUGACAAGAAGUGUGGUUGAACUGCUGAUGUAUGCAUUAUUAUUCAUUCAUAUUAGAUUUGCUGUCAUCUCAAGCAUGAUUAUGAUGGGGUUCCUCUAAUCUGUUCAAAACUUGGACAUUGUAGCAAGUAUAUGAUCAUGACACGUUCUCGUCUGAUGACAUAAUGGGAGAAGCAGAGAUCGAUAUCCAGCCAUUGAUAACAUCUGCAAUGGCAUAUGGGGACCCAGAAAUGUUUGGAAAUAUGCAGAUUGGAAAAUGGCUCAAGUCCCAUGAUAACGCCCUAUUAGAGGACAGCAUCAUCAACAUUGUCGAUGGGAAGGUGAAACAAGAUGUGUCACUGAAGCUCCAAAACGUUGAAUCUGGAGAAAUUUAUCUAGAAAUAGAGUGGCUGCCACUUGAUCAGUAGACUGAGCAUAAAUAAUGUAAUCAUUCAUUGUUCCUCCAAAUAAAUUCUGUAACAUUGUUUGUUGUUUGAUAUGGAUGGAUAUGGAAACACAUGCUUGUCUUGUUUAUUUUAUUUUUUCAUUUAGACUUAAACUUUCAAGAAUUAAUUUCUGGCUCCUUGGCUUCUUGUCCAAUUUUGCUGAAAGGCCUCUCUGCUCCAAAUUAAAAUAAAAUAUGUAAUAUAAUAUAAAAAAUUUAUUUAGUAUAUAAUUUAUAUUAUACAGUUUAAUAUAUUGAAUUUAUAUUUGAUGUGUUAAAUUUUAUAUAUUGUUAAUGCAUCAUAUGUGUCAUCUUAUUAAUUUAGAAAUUAAAAAACUAAAACUCCUUAAAGAUAAAGUUGAAAAAAUUCAAUAAUUAUUUUUAUUUAAUUAAAUAAAAAUUUUAUUUAAUUUAAUUUUUUUAAUUUAUAAAAUUAAUGAAAUGACAACUUAUGAUACAUUGAAGGUGUAUAAUUAUGCACAGUACAUUAAAUGUAAAUUUAGUAUAUUAUUUAUCUCAUUAUAAAAAUAUUAAUAAAAUAUUUUAUAUAAUAAAAGUUUUUUUCAAUAUUUAAAGAUAUUUUUCUAUUAAAUUUAUAAAAUGCUAAUUUUAUCUUUCCUAAGCUUUUAAAACAACUUUGCACUAAAGUUGUUGCUAUAAAAGCUAAGGCCGCCAGACCAACCAAACAUGAAACGUACUCUUACAAGUCGCUUCCGGACGCUGGUGCUUUUGGCUUCUGUUUUCUGUUGGUAUCUCCAUUUUUUUUUUCCUGUUCGUCAUUGAAUUUGCCUAUGAAAGGUUUUCUCUUUUUCUUCUAAUAAAAAAAUUAUUUUCAGGAAAGCAAUGAGAAAUGGCAGCAAAUUCUGUUACUCAAAGUCUCAACGUUUAUUCAAAACUUUUAACUGUUAAACUAUGGAACUCACGUAUAAAGGAGGCUGUAAACCAAAACAGUGCCCACAAAGCGCUUCUUCUCUUUCGCCAAAUGAAGCAAAAAGGGUUGGAACCAAACAACUUAACCUUUCCUUUCAUUGCAAAAGCUUGUGCCAAGAUUUCCAAUCUCAAAUAUUCCCAAACCCUCCACAACCAAAUCUUGAAAUCCCCGUUUGGAAGCGAUAUUUUCGUACAAACAGCAUUAGUUGAUAUGUACAUAAAAUGUGAUCAAGUGGAUUAUGCAUGCAAAACGUUUGAAAGAAUGCCUGAAAGAGAUUUGGCUGCUUGGAAUGCAAUGCUUAUUGGUUUUGCUAAGUUGGGUUUUCUUGAUAAGUUGUUAAGUCUUUUUGGUGGGAUGACGUUUGCUGGGAUUCACCCUGAUUCGGUCACUGUUGUGGGACUUAGUCUGGGAGUUUUGAGUACAAGGAAUUUGGAAUUAGUGAAGGGAAUUCAUUCGUUUGGGAUUCAAAUUGGGGUUGCUGUUGAUGUUACAGUAGCUAACACUUGGAUUGCAGUAUAUGCCAAAUGUGGUGACUUAGCAUCAGCAAAGAAGGUUUUUGAUGAGAUUGAUGCUGUGAGGACUGUCAUCUCUUGGAAUUCCAUGAUUGCUGGAUAUGCCCACUUCGAAAAUUUUGCUAAUGCUUUUGAUUUAUAUCGAAGGAUGUUGGUGGAUGGAAUUAAGCCAGAUGCAAGCUCUAUUGUUAGUUUGAUUUCGUCAUGUGUGCAACCUGAAGCACUAUUUCAAGGAAUGCAAAUUCAUUCUCAUGGAAUCCAAUUAGGUUGUGACUUGAACUUAUCUGUAACCAAUACUCUUAUAUCCAUGUAUUCCAAGUGUGGAGAUCUUAAUUCUGCAAGAUUCUUAUUUGAUUUCAUGUCUAAUAGGACAUGUGUUUCAUGGACUGUCAUGAUUAGCGGGUAUGCUGAGAAAGGGAAUAUGGAUGAGGCAAUGACCUUGUUUUAUUCAAUGGAAAAAGCUGGUGAGACAGCUGAUUUGGUUACUGUACUUUCUUUGGUUUCAGGUUGUGGCAAGACAGGAUCCCUUGAGCUUGGAAAAUGUAUUGACAGUUAUGCCAAAUCUAAAGGGUUUAAAGAGGAUGCAAUGGUCUGUAAUGCACUAAUAGAUAUGUACUCAAAAUGUGGUAGUAUAUGUGAGGCUCGAGAGGUCUUUCGUACCAUGCCCGAGAGAACUAUUGUUUCUUGGACUACCAUGAUCUCUGGUUGUGCCGUGAACGGAGAAUUUGAAGUAGCUUUGGACCUUUUCCAUCAGAUGAGGGGUUUGGGCUUCAAACCUAACCAAAUAACAUUCCUUGCUGUCCUGCAAGCUUGCACUCAUGCAGGCUUUCUUGAUAAAGGAUGGGAAUUCUUCAAUAUGAUGACCACAGAAUAUGAUAUCUAUCCUGGGUUAGAUCAUUAUUCAUGUAUGGCGGAUCUUCUUGGACGUAAAGGUAAGCUAAUAGUAGCAUUGGAGUUUAUUUUAAAUAUGCCAAUUAAACCAGAUGCUGGCAUAUGGAGUGCAUUGCUUAGUGCUUGCAAGGUUCACCACAACGUAGAGAUUGGUAAGCAUGUGGCAAGUCGCCUAUUUGAGAUGGAGCCUCAAGUUGCUGCUCCAUAUGUGGAGAUGGCAAACAUAUAUGCAUCAACUGGAAAUUGGGAUGAAGUUGCAAUGAUAAGAUUGUUGAUGAAACAUAAUAACGUGAGCAAGUCUCCCGGGCAAAGCCUUGUUCAAGUUAAUGGAAAAACACAUAGAUUUACUGUUGAAGAUAGAAGUCACCCUGAAGGUGUGCUUAUAUAUGCGUUGUUGGAUUAUUUAGCUUUGCAAUUAAAAGAUGAUAGAUAUCCCCUGUAUUUGAGGGAUAUUCCUGAAAUGGAAUUGGUUUGAAUCUUUAUUGAUUUUAACAUUUUACUCGGACUGAUAUCCCCUGUAUUUGGGGAUAUUCCUGAAGUGGAAUUCGGUUUAGUGAUCUUCCCACAUGCAGUGCAUCAAAAUUGGGGGGAAGGUCAAACUCUUCCAUCAAAAGAAAGAAGAUGGUCACUGUAUCUAGAGGGAAUUUACAAACAUCAUCUGAAAUCUAGCUUGAAGGAAAUAACUACAUGUACAGACGAUGGGGAGAGACUUGAAAACUGUUGAAGAUAAAAGCAUCUAUGCCUGAGCGUGGGUAUUAUAGUCUACAACAAUUUGGUAUCAAGGCUCAGAAGAGUUUAAAGGUCUGCUUUCCAUUCUCCAUCCCCUUGUCAAUUGGUUACAAUGCAAUUUUCAACAGUAGCAUAAAUACUGGGUGAUCAAACUGUUGGGGUAUUCUGUAGUUGCUUAAAUUGUUUUGCAUACAUAAGCUGGAUUAUUCCUAUAAUAAUUAGAUUGUCAACUUGUAUGUUGAUAUCAGUUUGUGCAUUACCAUUUGUUUUUAGAAAAUUUCUGGUACAAACAAUUUUCCCAAAAAUUUUCCAUCAUUGUUUAGAUGUUCAUUGUUCAGAAAGGGCCUGUUAAGUCGUGUUUACUUCUAUGCAUUUCUUUAUCUUUUGCAGGUUAUAGGAAGCAUUAAUAGAUAUGACAUGGACUUUGGGAAAGAAUUGUUUUGAUGUGUACUGGUAAACUCAAUCACACAUAAUCAAGCAUGCUUUUACUAUAAUGCCUUUGAUCAUUUCUCUACUCAUCUCCUUUGAGUAUUACUUUAUUCGAAAAUCACUAAUUCAUUCGUGUAUGGUGAGUGGUUGAAUAAUCUAUUUAUUAAAAAGCUAAUGGCUAAACAUGUAUUAACUUUCAAUUCCCUUGUUCUUUAUCAUUAGUUGAUAUUGUUGCUUCUAUUCUCCCUUAUAAUGCAACUUCCUGGUGGCACAACAUCAAUGUAACGAUUAAAAGAAUGUCUUGAGAAAAGGCUUCCUGGUGGUAUCAUUUCAUUUAUUUUUUGUUUAUGCAAAAAUGUUGCAUCUAGUACUUUCUCAAGGAGUUCACCAAAACUUGAUUUCAUAUCAUCAUAGUUCAUAAAUUACUGGUUUUUUUAAUCUUCAAUUCCACCAUUAAAUGUCAUUUCAUUGCUGUUAGAAGAUGAGUUUCAAUUAUCAUAAGGUAGGAAGCAUGGACACAGACAUGAGAUAUGGGUAUGGUAUCACAUUAAUACUGUGAUAUUAACAGUUUUUUGAAAAAUUAGGAUAUGGAUUUGAUGAGCUUAAAGAUAUAUGCAGCCUGAGUUAUAUGCCCUAACUUAUUUUUGGUUGGUGCAAGCUUCCAUCUCUUCCAGAACUAGCUCACUUCUUCUCUAGCCAAUGCCCUCUAGCAUUUACUCUCUAUUCUUGGUUUUGAAUUUACACAUAGAUCCAUCUCAACCAUUGGCCUAUUGUGCACCGGUUAGGAAAAAUGAGUUUCUGGAUUUAUGAGAGAUUAAAACUUGACCACGAAGAAAGUAAGUGUAAGUAAUAAAAGAUGAUAUGAAGGUUAAGGAAAUAGAUGAAAUGUUAUUUUUUAUAAAAAUGAGUGGGAUAAGAAGAUUUAAAACUGCGACCUAACAUAAAUUUUUUUUUUUAGUUUUUCGUAUAGCCGAUCUCAGGCUUAUAGGAUUUAAGGCUUUGUUGUUGUUAUAUCAAAAUUAGGUGAGGAAAAUGAAUGAUGGCCUUUAUAACAGCCUAGCCAACCCUUCUCUGCGUUUUGGCUCUCAUAUUUCUCUGGCAAGGCACAGCGGCUACUGUUAUGACAGCACUUAAACCCCAUGUGGAUUAGAGAAUCAAAAUCAAGAAGGAAAAGAACCCAUAGAUGAAGGGGAUCUUGUAUUAGAUGCAUAAAAAAAAAAAAAAGGGAAAUUUUAGAUCCUUUCUCUCAAACCAAGAAAAAGAUGUUGCAGAAGAACAUGGUAAAUCAGACAGAAAGACAUGCAGUGUGUCCAUGCUGUGGAUGGGCAUGUUACACACUUAUUGUUAGGACUUAGAGCCUCUGAAAUUAAAAAACUCUAUUAUAUCAGAUAAUUUUUUUUAAAGAAAUAAUAUAUUGAUAAAUUCACGUUUUAUACAUUGUCGGUCAAGCUUAACUGCUUUGUGUAUUUUUUUUUUAUAUAUUAAUUUUUAUUUUUUUAAUAUACUUUAGAGGUGCAUGUUCAAGACAAGAUCAGCUAGUAAUCUUUCUUUCUUUUUUUUUUUUUUUCUAAUCUCAUUUUCAGGAAUUCUCUCUAAGAAAUUAAAAACCGGUCAUUCCCAAAUUCAACGAGGCUACAAAGCUUCUGCUGCAAGAAAAACACUUUAUAUGAUCUCUCCUAAAUAAAUUAAAAAUAAAUUUGAUAAUUUAAAAUACGAUGAAAUAAUAUAAAUAUAACAUGAUUUAAUAGUUUAAAAAAAUUACAUAUAAAUUUAAUAAAAUUAAAAAAAUAUAUUUUAUAUUUUCAUAAUAACACAAAUUAUAAUAAAUAAUAUUUAUGUAAUUUUAAUAUUUUAUAUAAUAUAAAUACGCAAACCACUAAAUUUAUGGAGACAUAAUAAAAAAUAUAAAUGAUUCCAAAAUCACUUGGUGCUAAUUGGGACUAAACUAUUAAUAUUGUUGGUAUUAUUUGUGGAAUUAGGCGAUGAUCUCAUUCUAAUAACGUAAAUAAAAGCAGAAGUAGCCAGUAAUGCCACACCUGUGACGCCACAAAUCAAGCUCCCCAACACCAGCACAUGCCUCACGUGAUCACUCCCCCACCGAUUGCGGCCUGCUCCCACCCACCACGACGUCUCAUUGGAAUUUAUAGCCUUCGGCAGCGCCAUCUUAGGCGGCGUCGAAGAGGAGGAAUUCGAUGUUGGUGCGAAGAAGGACAUCAUCCCCGGUGACUUGAGCCCAGUCGGCGGCUGGCUCUGGUACUCCAGACCAUGAUCAGAAGGGCGUAGCUCCCUGGCCGUUGAUACCCUGAUGAUGAGGACGAUGAUGGUGAUGGUGAUGGCAGCAGCAAUUCUUACUGUGUGGAGAGAAGGCAUAGCUGAUUAUAGCUCUGUUGAGUGAAGGGAAGGCACUUUACAGUUGUCUGUUUGAGACAGAUACAUAGUACACUGUAAUUAGAUUAAGGAAGGUGAGCGACGUCGUUUGAGUUGUCAGAACAACUAUAUUCUAUUAUUUUGCAGUCAAGCAUUCAUUCGUGUGAAGGCCGAAAACGCGUGGCUCAAUGGGAGGGAAUAUUUACUCGUGUGUAAAUUUGAUAAUUUAAAAUAUAAUAUAAUAAUAUGAUAUAAAUGUGAUAUAAAUAAAAAAAAUUAAGAUAUAAAUUAAAAUUUUAAUAAUUAUUAUAUAUAAGUUUAAUAAAAAAAUAUUUCAUAUUUUUAUAUUUAUAUAAAUUUGAAAAUAUAAAUUUUAUAUAAAACACAAUAUAAAUAUAAAAAUUUUAAUAUUUUAUAUAAUAUAAAUAUAUAAAUCAUUAAAUUUACUCAAAAAAAUUUUCAGUUGUACUCUUAACUGUCGAAAUAAUUAAUAUAUAUUUAUAUAUAUGAGAAUUAAUAACACCCGUCUCCUUAAUAUUCUAAUCUUUGGAAUGUUUUUUGAUAUCAUAAUUAAAAUAUGUAUUAUAAAUAUCUAUCUUGUAUCAACAGGUGUAAAUGUUAAUAAAAUAUUAAAAUUUUAAUUAUAAUUAUUAUAUUAAAAUUUUAAUAAUUUCAAAAAAAUACUUAUCUCAUAAAAUAUGUAUUAUAAUUAAAAUAACUGUUUAAAAUCGUAAUGUCAUACUUGAUAUUAACCACAAAUGCAAAACAAAUGGGUGCUAUUAUCAAUAUUCUUGUGUUUCAAAACAUAAUACAUGUAAUUAAAAUAAGAAAAUUUUGUUAAAUAAAAUUGAUUAAAUAAGUUUUAAUUAGUUAAAUUUAUUAUUUUAUUUUGGCAUACGUGUUGAGAAUAAAUUGGAGUUGAGGUUUUUUUUUUUUUGUCUAAGAUCUUCAAUGUUCGAUAAUCACUUUCGAUUCUGAUUAAUUCGGAAACGAAUUGAGUCGAAUCUCAUAAAAAAGUAAAUUUUUUUAAAUUUAUUUUUUUCAUUCACAAAAUUUGAAAUUAAAAUCUUAUUUAAAAAAAAUUAAAUUUUUUGUCACUUAAUCUAACAGACGUUGAUAAUCGGAGUUGAGUUAUACAAUAGAAGGAAGUUCUCUUUGUCAAUAAAUCCACUUAUUUCACUUGAAUUCAAGACUUUUAGAUUUAAACUGUAAUCGGUAGGAAUAGGAUGCCCCUUUACUCAUAAGCUGAAUUUAAUGUUUGAAUGUUUUUGUCAUUUGUACAACUCAUCGCCAUGCUAGUUGAUUUGGCUUCUGCGUCAGUCCUUUUCACUCAAAUAAUGCCACGUCACUCAGCAAAUUUGUAAACAAAAUUUCAAUGGCUGACUCAUCCUUAUUCUGCCACUUGUCUAAUGUUAAUUAGUCCACAAACAAGCCAUGUCAUUCUUUUUCCAAAUCAUCCUAUCUUGCCACGUGUCUCUCUUAAUAGUCAAUAUCAUCGAUGGCAUAUAAAUUAUAUUAAAAUAUUUAAUAUAAUAUUAAAAUUUUUAAAAUUUUUAACGUGAUAUUUAAAAUAUAUAUUUAUUAACAUACGUGAUAUUUAAAUAAUUAUUUAUUUAUUAUGUGUCAUCGUUUGGAAGCCUAGUUACGUUAACGAUGAAUAUUAUAUUAAUUAAUGUAUUCAUAAUUUAAGUAUUAUAUUAAAAAUUUUAAAUUUAAAUAAUAUAUUAAAUAUUUCAUUAUAAUUUAAGAGCUAUUUAUAAUAUUAAUCACUCUCUUAAAUUGAAUGAUUAUAUAUAUAUAUAUAUUUAGUAUAAACUUUUUCAUCAAAAUACUUUCUCUUUUACGCAAAAAAGAAAAGGGUACUCAAAUUUAAAAACCUGCCAUUCCUGCCACAGUUUAGCUUAAUUAAUUAAUUAAUGGCAAUUAUAGUUUGAAUUAAACUUUCAAUCAAACCAUUUAAGUUUUCAAAUUUGAGUAUCGGUUGAUGUCAAUUGGCAUAAGAUUUUUUAUUGACAUUUAAAUAUUAUGAGUUCGAAUGAGUUUAUAUAUGUAGUAUUUUCUUCUUCAGCUAGAUAAGUAUAACAAGAGAGGGAUUUAAGUAGAUUUGAUAAUAUAUAGUGAUAUGAUAUGAAUACGAUAAAAAAAAGUGACAUAAUUUAAAAUUUUAAUAAUAAUUAUUAUGAGUUUAAUAAACAAAAAAAUAUAUUUUAUAAUUUUAUAUUAAUAUGAAUUGUGACACAUAAUUUUUGUAUAAAAUAUAAUACGAAUAUAUAAAUUUUAUUAUUUUACACGACACAAAUAUUUGAAUUGUCAAUUCUAAACUUAGGGAUAAAUUAGAAUAUUAAAUUUUUUUUUUAAAUCUCUCUUAGCUCAUAAUUUUCUUCCCAUCUUUUAAUUUCUCUCUAGGUACCCCACCUUUCUCUUCCUUUAACUUGAAUUUCUUUCUUCCGUUUUCAAAAACAUGACCAAAGAGCUUUCCACCAUUAAUGAGCUUACAUACAGCUCUGCAUCGUAGAUUGAUCAAUUAUUUUUUAGUGUAAACACAUGCUUAAUUUAUAUUUAUUUAUGAGUAUGUACACAUUAUUUUCGUACUAUAAUAUAAAAUAAAUUUAGGUUUUAAAAUCAUUCAAAAUAUAAUUUAUAAAUUAGUAAUUAAUAUUAAUAAAAUAUUUUCAUUUUUAUUUAAAUUAAUUGUAUUCUUUUUAUAUAAUUUUUUAAUUUUAUUUAUCAUUUUGUGUUAAUAGAAUUAUUAUUCAUUUGAUUACCUAACUAUUUUUACUCUCAUGCUAUUUUUCCUUCUCUCUCUCUCUUUUCUCUACCAAAACAAAAAGAAAAAGUCCCAUGGAAUUAAAGGUGACAAAUAAGUCAAUCAAAUUAGGUUCAGGUUCAAUUAUUUUGAUUGGAUCAUUUUUGUUUAAAAAAAAAUUAAAUCUUUUCGAAUUGGGAUCAUUUUAAGUUCAGAUUAGGUUGGGUUUGUUGGAUUUAAUAAACCAAUUUUUUGAAUGAUUUCUAAAACCUUUAAAUAGAAUUUUAAAUUUUUGAAUGAUUUCUAAGACUUUCAAGUAGAAUUUUAAAUUUUUGAAUGAUUUUCAAGAUUUUCAGGUAGAAAUUUAAAUUUUUUAAAGAUUUUCAAAAUCUUUAAACAUAAUAUUUAAUUUUUAAACGAUUUUCAAGGUCUCCAUUUAGAAUUUUAAAUUUUGUAAAUGAUUUUCAAGAUUUUUAAACAUAGUUUAUGAGUUCUCCAAGCAAGAUUUAUAAAUCUUUUGAGUUGAAUUUACUUUAGUAUCGAGAUUUAUAAGACCUCUAGGUUUAAUCUUUAAAUCUUUCGGAUAAGAUUCGUAGUCUUCCUAGUUGAAUUCAUUUUAAUGUUGAAAUUUAUAAGAUCUCCUGGAUCAAUCUUGAGAAAAUUAUCGAAAAAAAUGGAAAAUAGAUAUGGCAUUAGUUAGAAGCAUUUUUUAGAAAGGAAAAUGUUGAGAAUUUUAAAGAUUUUCAAGUUAAAAAAUUUUAAACACGUACAAAGAUCAAGAUGAGAAACUUUGUUACAAAGACUUAUGGGCACUAAAAAAUAUAAUAAUUAAGACCUUUAGGUAAGAUUAGUAAGACUUUCGAGAGAAAUCUAUUUUAGAAUUGAGAUUUAUAAGAUUUUCGGGCAUAGUUUCUAAGAUCUUCAGGCAAAAUUUGUUAGUCUUCGAGCAAAGUUUAUUUUAUUGUUGAAAUUUAUGAAACUUUUGAGUAUAGUCUCUAAGUCCUCUUAGUAAAAUUCGUAAGUCUUCUGAACUAAAUAUACUUUAAUAUCAAGAUUUGCAAGAUCUUUGGGCAUAUUUUUUAAGCAUUUCAGAUUUUUUUCAAAGUUUCAAAGUUUUUGUUUAGGAGAAGCCUUUCAAAGAUAAGAUUUUAAAGUUUCAAAACCUCUAUUCAAGAUAAACCUUUUAAAGUUAAGAUUUUUAAAAUCUCAAAACUUCUAUUUAAAAAGAACCUUUCAAAUGUGAGAUUUUUAAAAUUUUAAAACCUUUGUUAAAAAAGAGCCUUUUAAAGAUAAAAUUUUUUAAUCUCUUAAAAAAAAGAAAAUAAAAAAAGUUUCAAAACAUCUAAUAAGUUAAUAUAGAAAACAAAACAUAAAAAAUAGUAACAAAAUAAACAAAAAAAACAAAAGAAAAUAACUCUAAGCCCCUAAUUAGAUAAAAUUAUCAUAUUUGUUUUUACAUUAUUUCUAAUUUUAAGAAAUAUGUAAAGAGAGGCAGUCAUAAGCACUUAAUUUUAUCCGAGUUUAUUUUAGUCAAUCAUGAUGCUUUAAAAAUAGGGACUGAGUUCUUGUCCAAAAGUUUUUUAAGAUUUAUGAAUAUUUAAAGAUUUUUGAAUAAGUUGAUUUUUAUAAUGAUGUAAAAAAAAGUAAAAGUCAAAGAAAAAAGUCAAAAGUCAAAAGUCAACUUAGUCAAACUUGAUCGAAAUUAGUCAAUUUUGAUCGAAACAUGGUCAAAUUCAAGGCAUUUGUAAGAAUCAAACAAAGAUAUUGGAUUCUUGAAAGCUUAAACAAAAUUUGAGUUUUGAGUAAAAAAAGGCAAAAUGACCAAAAUACCCAUGAUCAGUCAUCGAGUUAAAAUAGGUCAAGAUCUAUUAAGAUUACUUGGAAUGGGUCAAAUUUUUUUCAUAUCCUUAUGUUUAGAAAGAAAAUCUUAGGAAAAAUUGCAUUUUGAACUAAAAUGAUCAAAAUGCCCCAUGAUCAAAAUUGGUAAAAUUUAGCCAAAUUUUGUCAAACUCGGGUCAACCCUUGGAAUUCAUGAUUGAAUAAGAUUAUUAAGGUUUGGGAUUAAUAAAAUUAUGAUUUGGACAUUUAAAAAUCAUGUUGGACUUAAAAAAAGUGAAAUUACAAAAAUGUCAUUUAAAAUGUAUUUUCAUAAUUUGACCUUUUAGGGGUUGAUUUUUGUUAAAAACUCCAGAUCAUAUUUAAAUAUUAUUUUAUUAGUUUUGAUGCAUUAAAAAUCUUGAUUGAAUCUCAAAAUGGAUGAAAUUAUCAAAAUGCUUUUUAAGGGCAUUUUUAUAAUUUGGCCUUUAUGGAGUCAAUUUUUUCACACAAAGUUAUAGAUCAUAAUUAAAUAUUAUUUUAAAAUUUUUGGUACAUUAAAAUUAUGAAAAUAAAUAUUGGAUCAUAAGGUUAUAGCAAAAUCAUAGAAAAAGUUUAAAAAUGCUAAUUAGGGUAAAAUUAUCUUUUCACAUUAUGACAUCUGUACUAAUUGCUAAGUUAUGUACUAUAAUUUUUUUAGGCUCAUUAGAUUUCAAGGUAUGCUGAUCUUAUGGCCUAUAUUACAAGCCUUGGGGACCAAGUUUGUAAGAAAAAAAAAAUAAUAACAAUCAUUAAAUGCAUUUUAAUCCAAUAGUUAAUUAGGUGUUUUAAAAUUUUAAAUAGAAAAAUAUAGAGUUUUUUAGGUUCUCCUCUCUUUUUCCAUAAAAAAAAAAACUCCACUAUUAGAGAAUCUAUCGAAGAGGAAAAUUUCUUAUAGAAAAAAACCUCCCUUUAGGUAUAUUUCUCAACAUUUUCAUACAUUUGCAUACCCAUUUCAUGUAUUUCAUUUUACUUUUCUAGAUUCUUUUUAUAAGUUCAUCCUUGAUCUAUUUUUCUCAUGUUACUCGUUCCAUCUGGAGAAGAAAAAGAUUAUAAAAACAACAAAAUACUAUGGAAAGGAAGGUUUGGUUAUAGAUUUGAUCAUGGGUUUGAAUUUGCAAUAAAAUAAGAUUUAUGAGAUUGGAAAUAGUUAUAUGAUAAUUUUUAUGAUUCAAAAUUACAUAUUAAAAAAAGAAAUAAGGAAUUAAAAAAGGGGGAGAUUGAUGUUUCUCGCAGGCUUUUGAGAUGAUCAAUUUUGGAAAAAAAAAAAAAAAAGAGAGUGAAGGAAAUUUUGGACAAAAAAUAAAAUAGUCAGUUUCGAUAACCUGGUUUAUGGGGAGUUACAUUGUGGUGGGGUCACUAUAGCAUUGUUUUCAAAUGAAAAUUCUUUAAUUAGUGUUCAUUUUCCAUGUGCUUGAUCAAACAAAUAAAAAAGACCAUAUCACAUGAACAUAUUCCAUCAUAUAUAUAUUUUUAAUUGACCAAAUAGGUCAAUAUUGAAAGGCUCUUUUCCUACAUAAAGGAUUGAUCAGUCUGAAUUGCUUGAACUUCAGGCGUGAGAAAGGAUGGCCAUAGGCGGUGAAAAAAGCAAGAUUUUGAUAUUUGGUGCCACUGGCUAUCUUGGGAAAUACAUGGUGAAGGCAAGCGUGGCCUCGGGUCAUCCCACUUAUGCCUACACUCGCCCGCUCACUUACAACAACUCCUCCUCUUUCAAGUUAGAUCUUCUCAAGGACUUUGAAUCCAUGGGUGUCACCAUAUUCUAUGUAACUCCAUUUCUUUUCUUCUCAGUAAUUAUUAGUUUCAUAUUUACUUUUGGUUUUAUGGUAUUUCUCUCUAGCUUUUAUUCUUUUUCUUCACCGAUUUGAGUAUACAAUUGUGUUUUAAUUACUUGUUUUUCUUGAUCAUUGAUUUAAUUUGUUUUAUGUUAACACAGGGGGAGUUGGAUGAGCAUGAAAAGUUAGUUUCAGUGCUUCAACAGGUUGAGGUUGUGAUUUCCACACUAGCAGUCCCACAACAUCUUGACCAACUCAAAAUAAUAAGUGCCAUGAAAGAUGCUGGCACAAUAAAGGUCGUUACCCUUAAUCAAAGAAACUCAAAGUUUAAAAAUAUGUAUUUUCUACACUGAUUAGAGAUGUCCAUGGGUUUAACUAGACGGAAUUCAUAUCUACUUAAAUAUGAUAUUAACGUCUUAUGUGUUUGCUCAAAUUUAAUUUUAUCCAGUGAUUCAAAUCUUAAAUUUUGUCUAAAUAUAUCCAUACAACGUUAAAAAAUAAAAACUUAGCCUUUUUUAUUUAAUCUUUAAUAUUUUUAUUCUUAUAUUAAAUUUUAAAAUAUAGAUAUCUUAAUAUAUUUUUUAAUGUUUAUACUAUAAUAUUAUAUGUUUAUCAUUUAUAUAAUAUAAAUUAUAUAAUAUAUUAAUAGAAAAAUAAUACACAUGUUAUAUAAUUGUGGAUCAUGCCAAGCCGAUCGCAUCAAUGUUAAAAUUAAGGUUCGACUCGCUUUUGACAUAAUUUUUUUUCGUUCUUUUUUUCAAUCCGUUUAACGAACUUAAUAUUUUUGCUCGAUUUCUUUAAAUAUUAGAAGGAGCUUCAAUGUUAGAUGGACAACUCAGCUCUUGAAUAUAUCUAACAUUAUUAUUUUACUUCUUUUUAAUCAUGCUCUUGGAUUAUAUCUAUCUAAUAUUAAUUUAUACUUCUUUAUAAUUAUCCUCUUGAGUUGUAUCUAUGUUUAUAGGAACUGUAUAGUUAUGCUCUUGGAUUGUAUCUAUGUUUAUAUGCCCUUGCGACAUUUUUUUAAUAUUUCUUAAUUAUUUGAUGGUAACAAGUUUAUUGAGGUUGAAUGAAUCCGUAGCUAACAAGUUGUGAAAUAAUUGUAGAGGUUUGUGCCUUCAGAAUAUGGAAAUGAAGUAGACAGAAUAACAAGUGCACUUCCACCAUUUGAAGCUUUACUAGCUAACAAAAGGAAGAUCAGAAGGGCAGCAGAAGCAGCUGGACUCUCUUACACUUACGUUGCUGCAAAUACAUUUUUAGUCUAUUUUAUUGACUAUCUUCUUCACCCACAUGAGAAACCAAAUGAACUUGUGGUUUAUGGAACUGGCCAAGCCAAGGGUACGUACGUAUGUAACCUUAUUGGAAACAUCAACAUCAUUGUUGUCAGGCUAAAAACAAACUAUUCAAACCUAGGAAUCCUGCUGAUUGGGUUAAAAGAAAAAAAAAAAAAAAGCAAUGUACAAGUAACCAUAUAAAUUAUGCUGUUAUUUGACAUUGGUAACCAUCUCUUGCUUUGAAUAGUUAAAAGAAAAGUAAAAGUAAUCAUAGAAACUAUUUCGUUUUAUUUGAAGAUUUUAAUAUGUAAAUUUUUUAUUCAACAUGCAUGCAGUUGUGUUCAACUAUGAGGAAGAUAUUGCAGCCUUUACGGUAAAAGCAGCGACAGAUCCAAGGGUAGCCAAUCGCGUCAUCAUCUAUAGGCCGCCGGCAAAUGUUACUACUCAGUUGGAACUGAUUUCUGCAUGGGAGGAAAAGACUGGCCGAACCUUUAAAAGAGUUCAUGUUCCUGAAGAGGAAAUUAUAAAGCUCUCUGAGAGUAAGGCACUGAUUCCCUUAUGGAUCUCAUAUAUAUAUAUAUAUAUAUAUAUAUAUAUAUAUAUAUUGGACAUUGGGCAACAUUGAAAUAUGUUUCUUAUUAUUGUUUGGUAUAGCCUUGCCUUUCCCGGACAACAUUCCGGUGGCGGUUUUGCACAACAUAUUCAUCAAAGGAGAUCAAAUGACGUAUGAAUUGAUGGAAGAAGAUUUGGAGGCCUCUAAGCUAUAUCCUGACUACAGUUACACCACCAUUGAUAAGUAUCUUGAUAUGUGCGUGGUUAACCCUCCUCGCCCCAAAUUAGCUGCAUUCGCUUGAUCCAUAUAAAAAGAACUUAACAUUCAUGUUUGCAAGUGGUAAUCGUCAGUCGUCUGCAACCCUUUCUUCCUACCAUUUAUAAUUAUAAUAAUAAAUAUUAUGUUUAUAUUUAUGUAAUAAAGAUUAUGGAUUUAUGUUUCAUAUACUGUAAGUGAACCAUAUAAUGAUAUUUAAUAAAAAAUUAAUUUUAAAUAAUUUUUAGGAUAUAUUAAAUAUACUUACUUUUAAAAUUUUAUAACUAAUUUUUUAUGAGUUGUUACUGUGUGAUUCAGUAACAGUGAAUAGCACUUAUACAUUGAUAUAUAUUGAUAGUAUAUAAAAUAUAAACUCAACUAUUAUAUUUUGCUUGGGUUUAGCUAUGUAUUGAAGCUUGGAAGUAUAAGUAAUGUUUGAAUAGAAAUCUUAAGUUUAACCAAAUCAUACGUAUCAAUUACUUCUUUUUUGUAUUAAAAAAUUAUGCAACUUGACUUCUUCUACUUGCCAAAUGUGACAUCUGAUAUAUACAUAUAUUAAUAAUAAAAAAAGUUUGAGAUAAACUUGAUUAUAAAAAAAAAAAAGAUUAAAAAUAGAGACUUGAGCCGUCGGCGGCGGGCUCUGGUACUCAAGACCAUGAUCAGAAGGGCGUGGUUCCCUGGCCGUUGAUUCCCUGAUGAUGAGGACGAGAUGGUGAUGACGAUGGCAGCAGCAAUUCUUAUUGCGUGGAAAGAAGGUAUAGCUGAUUAUAGUUCUGUUUGCCUGUUCCAUAGAAAGAUACAUGCAGUAGAAUUCGACUAAGGAAGAUGAGCGACGUCGUUUGAGUGGUGAGAGUAACUUUAUUCUAUUAUUUUGUAGUCUACACUAAUUUGUCAGGAGGUGGAAUGUGGGAUACUAUUCACCCACGGGAAGCUCUUCGGUUGUACAUUUAACUGUUGAAAUAAUUAAAAAAUAUGUGUAUCAGAAUUAAUAUUUUUUAUACAUAAUAUUAUGAUAAAAUAAGAUUAUAAAUAAGAUUAAAUUAAAUAAUUUUAUUUUAUUUUAUAAUUAAUAUGUGUAAAAAUUAAAAUAAAAUAAUUUAUUUAUUGAUUAAAAUCAUCCUUACUCAAAAUGUAUAAUUUAGAUUAUUGAUAUAAUUGUUAAAAGUAUAAUAAUAAAUAUAAAUUCAAUCAUAUAAAUUAAAAAUAAUAUUUUUUAUUUCGGAAGAAUUAAAUUCUCUAUAUCAAAAAGAUGAUUAAUAUUCUUUAUAAUUCUAUUCAUUUCUUUAGAUACAAAUCAAAUAUUAUAUAAAAUUAUUAUCAUCCUAUUCUAUCUAUUAUCUCAUGCACCAAAUAUGAUACUAUCUUCUUAAAAUUUCAAUCUUUACUAAUUUUUUUGGGUAUCAUAAUUAAAAUAUAUUAUAAAUAUAUAAUUUAUAUUAACAAUUGUGUAAUCUAUUAAUAAAAUAUUAAAAUUUUAAUUUUAAUGAUUACAUUAAAAUUUUGAUAAUUUCAAAUAAAAAAAUACUUAUCUCAUAAAAAUAUUUAUGAUAAUUAAAAUAUACGUUUAAAAUCAUAAUGUCAUACUUGAUAUUAACCAUAAAUGCAAAGCAAAUAGAUGCUAUUAUCAAUAUUCUUGUGCUACAAAACAUAAUAUAUGUAAUUAAAUGAGAAAUUUUAGUUAAAUAAGAUAGAUUAAAUAAGUUUUAACCAGUUAAAUUUAUUAUUUUAUUUUGGUAUACAUGUUGAGAAUAAAUUGGACUUGACUUAUACAAUGGGAGGAAUUCCUCCUUGUCGAUAAAUCUCGCUCAUUCCACUUGAAUUCAAACUUUUAAACUCUAAUUGGUAGGAACAGGAUGCCCCAUACGCUGAUUUUAUUGUUCAUUUGUCCAACUAAUCACCAUGCUAGUUGAUUUGGCUGCUGCAUCAGUCCUUUUACCUCAAAUAAUGCCAUGUCAUUCGGCAAAUCUGUUGACAAAUUUUCAGUGGCUGACUUAUUCUUAUUCUGCCAUUUGUCCAAUGUUAAUUAGUCCACCAACAAGCCAUGUCAUUAUUUUUCUCAAAUCAUCUUAUCUUAGCACAUGCUUUUUAAUCAUAAUAUUAUGAAUGAUUUUUAAAUUAUAUUAAAAUAUUUAAUAUUAUAUCUAAAUUUUAAAAAUCGUUAAUUUUAUAUUUGUAUAAUAAAUUUAUUAACACAUGUAAUAUUUGGAUGGUUAUUAAUCUAUCACGUCUCAUCAUUUAAAAUUAGUUAUAUUAAGAGUGAAUACUAUAUGCAUAUUAGUUAAUAUAUUCAUAAUUUAUGUAUCAUAUUAAAAAUUUUUAAAAUUCAGAUACUAUAUUAAAUAUUUUAUUAUAAUUUUCAUAAUAUUAAUCCUUCUUUUGAAUUAAAAGAUUAUAUAUAUUUUUGAGUGUAAACGUUCUCCUCUAAAUACUUUCUCUUUUGGGAAAAAAAAAGGAAAAAAAGUAUUUAAAUUCAAAAACCUAUAUUUUCUAUCACAGUUUAGCUCAAUAAAUCAAUUAAUGGCAAUUCGAAUUUGAAUUAAACUCUUAAUCAAGCCACUUAAGUUUUCAAAUUUCAAUGUCAAUUGAUGUUUGGAUCAAUUGGCAAGAGGUUUUUGUUGACAUUUAAAUAUUAUGGGUUUGAACAAGUUUAUAUAUGUAGCAUCCCCUUCUUUAGUUGGAUAAGUAUAACGAGUAAGGGAUUUAGGUAGACUUGAUAAUUUAAAAUAUGAUACAAUGAUAUGACAUGAAAAUGAUAUAAAAUAAAACACAAAGAUAACAUAGUUUAAAAUAUUAAUAUUAACUAAUAUGAACUUAACAAAACAAAAAAAUAUAUUUUAUAUUUUCGUAUCAAUAUGAAUUAUAACACAUAAUUUUUGCAUAAAAUAUAGCUCGAAUACAUAAAUUUGAUUAUUUUAUACGACACGAAUACACGAAUCGUCAAGUUUAGAUUUAGGUGUAGAUUAGAAAAUUAAAAAAUUCUCCAAAUCUCACUUAAUUCCUAAUUAUUUUCUUCUCAUCUUUUAAUUUCUCUAUAACUCCACCUUUCCUCUCCUUAUCUCUUCCUUUAGCUUGAAUUUCUUUUCUUCCUUUCUCAAAAACAUGACCAGCCAGUUUUCCACCAUAGAUGAUUACAUAGUUGUGAACACAUAAUUUAUAUUUAUUUAUGAGUAUGUAAAUAUUAUUUUUGCAGCAUAGUAUAAAAUAAAUUUAGGUUUUAAAAUCAUUUAAAAUGUAAUUUAAUACAUUAAUAAUUAAUAUUAAUAAAAUAUUUUCAUUUUUAUUUAAAUUAAUUGUAUUCUUUUUAUAUAAUUUUUUAAUUAAAUUUAUCAUUUUGUGUCUGUAAAAUUAUUAUUCAAUCUAUUAUCUAACAAUUUUUACUUUCCUUUUUUUUUUCCUUUUCUCUCUCUCUCUCUCUCUCUCUCACUCUCUCUCUCUUUACCUAAACAAAAAGAAAAACUCACAUGAAAAUAGAAGUGGAAAAUCGGUCAAUUGGAUCAAAUUCAAGUUGGGUUAUUUCGAAUCAGAUCAUUUUGGUUUAAGAAAAAAUUGAAUCUUUUUAGAUUCGAAUUAUUUCAAGUUCAAAUUAGGUUGAGUUUGUUGGAUUUAAUAAACAAAUUUUUUGAAUGAUUUCCAAGACCUUCAGCAAAAUUUUACAUUUUUAAAUGAUUUUUAAAACCUCGAGGCAAAAUAAAAAUUUUUGAAAAUUUUCAAGACUUCUAUAUAUAAUUUAAAAUUUUGAAUGAUUUUCAAAGCUUUCAAGCAUAAUUUUAAAUUUUGUAAAUGAUUUUUAAGAUUUUUUUGUACAGAAUUUUAAAUUUUGUAAAUGAUUUUUAAGAUUUUGGAUAUAGUUUUUAAGUCUUCCAGUUAUGAUUCGUAAGUCUUCCAAGUUGAAUAUGCUUUGGUGUUGAGAUUUAAAAACCUUCAGAUAUAAUUUUUAAGUCCUUUAAGUAAGAUUUGUAAGUCUUUUUAAUUUAAUUCAUUUUAAUAUCGAGAUUUAUAAGAUCUUCUGGUUCAAUCGUGAGAAAAUUAUUGAAAAAAUGAGAAACAGAUAUGAUAUUAGUUAGAAGUGCUUUUUAAAAAGGAAUGUAUAAAGGAUUUUUAAAAUUUUCAAGUUAAAAAAUUUUAAACAAAUUUUAAAGACCUAUGGACAUCAUGAUGAGAAAAUUUGUUACAAAGACUUCCAAAUACUGAAAAUCGUAAUCAUUAAAACCUUAAGCAAUAUUAGUAAGUAUUUCAAGUAUAAUCUAUUUUAACGUCGAGAUUUAUAAGACAUCCAGGCACGAUUCAUAAGUUUUUCGAGUUAAAUCUGCUUUAGUAUUGAGAUUUGAAAAACUUUUGGGCAUAAUUUCCAAACAUUUUAAGAUUUUUUUUUUUAAAGUUUAAAAAUCUCUAUUUAAGAAGAGUCUUUCAAUGAUGAGACUUUUAAAAUUUUAUAACUUAUGUUUAGGAGGAACUUUUUAAAUGUGAGAUUUAAAGUUUUCAAGCUCUUAUUUAGAAAAAGUCUUUCAAAUAUGAGAUUUUUAAAAUUUUAAAUUUUCUAUUAAGAAAUGACCUUUUAAAGAUAAAAUUUUUUAUCUUUUUUUUUAAAGAAGAGUGUUAAAACAUCUGAUAAAAUAAUAUUAAAAAACAAAACAACAAAAAAAAAUUAAAAAAAAAUAACUAUAAGCCCUUAAUCCCAGUCAAAAUUGUUAUUUUUAUCUUUGAAUUAUUCAUGAUUCUAAAAAAUAUGCAAAGAGAGAUAAUUGUAAAAAUCUAAUUUUAUCUAGGUAUAUUUUAUUCAAUCGUGAUGUUUUUAAAAUUGAGACCCAGUUCUUGUCCAAGAUUUGUUUUAAGAAUUAAGAAUAUUUAAAAAAUUUUGAAUAAGUUGAUUUUUAUAGAAAUAAAAGAAAAAUAAUAACAAUUAAGGAAAAAAAUCUAAAGUCAACUUAGUCAAACUUGUUUGAAAUUGGUUGAUUUAAGUCGAAACAACGUCAAAAUCAAGGCAUUUUGUAAGAAUCAUACCAAGACAUUGGAUUGUUGAAAACUCUAAAAUAAAAUUUAAGUUUUGAGCAAAAAAGGACAACAUGAUCAAAAUACCCCUAAUAAGGCCCCGAGUCAAAGUAAGUUAGAUCGUUCAAGAUUUUUUCAAAUUGUUCAAAUAUUUUUCAAAUCCUUAUGCUUAGAAAGAAAAUCCUUGGAAAAUUUUAAUUUUGAGCUACAAUGACCAAAAUGCCUUAUGGUCAAACUUGGUCAAAUUUAAUUAAAUUUAAUCAAACUAGGGUCAACCCUUGGAAUUCACAAUUGAAUAGGAUUAUUAAGGUUUAAGAUUAAUAAAAUUAGGGUUUGGACAUUUAGAAAUCAUGUUUAACCUCAAAAGGGGUGAAAUUACAAAAAUACCCCUUUAAGGGCAUUUUUGAAAUUUGACUUUUUUUGGUUUUUGUUUUAAAAGAAAAACUUCAUAUCUUGUUUAAACAUUAUUUAUAAAUUUUGAUGCAUUAAAAAUCUUGAUUGAACUUCAAAAAGGGUGAAAUUACCAUUUGGCCUUUUUGGGAUAAAUUUUUCAUGAAAAAAUCUAUAUCAUAAUUAAACAUUAUUUUAUAAUUUUUGAUACAUUAAAAUUAUCAAAAUAAAUAUUGGAUCAGAAGAUUUUAGGAAAAUCAUAAAAAAAACUUAAAAACACUAAUAAGGACAAAAUUAUUUUUUCUCACUAAGACAGCUACACUAGAAACUAAUUAAGUUGUUUGUUAUAACUUUUUAGAGCUAUUAGAUUUUAAGGUACAAUGAUCUUAUGGCAUAGAUUGCAAGCCUUAGAUACCAAGUUUGUAAGAAAAAGAUAAAAUAAUAACAACCAUCGGAUGCAUCUUGAUUCGAUGAGGUGUUUUGACUUUUCAAAUAGAAAAAUAUAGGGUUAUGUUCUAAGUUCUCCGCUCUUUUUCCAGCCAACAAAACUUUAGAGAAGCUAUUAAAGAGGAAAUUUUUUUGUAGAAAAAAACCUCCCUUUAAGUAUAUUUCUCACCCUUUUCAUGUAUUUGCAUAUCCAGUUCAUAAAUUUCUUUUUACUUUUCUAGAUUCUUUUCAUAAGUUCAACUUUGAUAUAUUUUCUCAUCUUACCCAUUCCAUGAUAAUAUUUGGAGAAGAAACAGAUUAUAAAAACAACAAAGUACCAUGAAAAGGAAGAUUUAGUCAUGGGUUUGAAUUUGCAAUAAAAUAAGAUUUAGGAGAUUGAAAAUAGAUAUAUGAUAAUUUUUAUGAUUCAAAAUUACAUAUUAAAAACAAAGAAAUAAGGAAGAAAAAAAGGAGAGAGAUUGAUGUUUCUCGCAGGCUUUGACCAUAUAAUCAAUUAUAGAUAAAAAAAAAAAAUUGAGUGAAGGAAGUUUUGGACAAAAAGAAAAAAAUAUUCAAUUUCGAUAACCUGGAUUAUGGGGAGUUAAAAUGCGGAGGGGUAACUAUAGCAUUGUUUUCACAUGAAAAUUCUUUAAUUAAUUACUGGUCAUUUUCCCAUGAAUGGUCUUCCCAAAUAAUUCUUUUAUUGAUACAGAUUUUAUGAUCAAACAAAUAAAAAUGUUGACAUUGCAUCAUAUUCGAUCAAAUAUAUCUUUUUAAUUGGCCAAUUAGGCCAAUAUUCAACGGCUUUUUUCCUACAUAAAGGAUUGAUCAGUCUGAGUUGCUUGAAAUUAAGGUGUGAGAAAGGAUGGCCAUGGACGGUGAAAAGACCAAGAUUUUGAUAUUUGGUGCCACUGGCUACCUUGGGAGUUGGGAAAUACAUGGUGAAGGCAAGCGUGGCCUUGGGUCAUCCCACUUAUGCCUACGCCCGCCCACUCACUCACAAUAACUCCUCCUCUUUCAAGUUAAGAUCUUCUGAAGGACUUUGAAUCAUGGGUGUCACCAUAUUCGAUGUAACUUCAUUGCUUUUCUUCUCAGUAUUUAUUAUUUUCGUAUUUAAUUUUUGUUUUAAGCUAUUUUUCUCUUGUUUGUUCUUUUUCUUCACCAAAUUAAGUAUAAAAUUGUGUUUUAAUUACUUUUUUUUUCUUGGUCAUUGAUUUAAUUUGUUUUAUGUUAACACAGGAGGAGUUGGAUAAGCAUGAAAAGUUAGUUUCAGUGCUUCAAUGGUUGAGGUUGUGAUUUUUACUCUAGCAGUCCCACAACAUCUUGACCAACUCAAAAUAAUAACAGCCGGCACAAUAAAGGUUAUUACUCUUAAUCAAAGAAACUCAAUGUUUAAAAAAUAUUUAUUUUUUAUACUAAUUAGAGAUGUCUAUGGGUUUAAUUAGAUUGGGUUCAUAUCGGCUUAAAUAUGAUAUUAAUGUCUUAUAUGUUUAUUCAAAUUUAAUUUUAUCCAAUAAUUUAAAUUUUAAAUUUUGUCUAAAUAUAUCCAUAUACCGUUAAAAAAUAAAAACAUAGCGUUUUUUAUUUAAUCUUAGUAUUUUUAUUUUUUAUUAAGUUUUAAAAUAUGGAUAUCUUAAUAUAUUUUUUAAUGUUUACACUAUAAUAUUAUAUAUUUAUCAUUUAUAUAAUAUAAAUAUAAAUAUAAUACACAUAUUAUAUAAUUGUCAGAUCAUGCCAAGCCAAUCUCAUCAAUGUUAAAAUUCUUUUUUUUUAUAUUUAAAUUCAUUUAACGAAUUUAAUAUUUUUACUCUAUUUCUUUAAAUAUUGAACGGAGCUUCAAUGUUAGAGGGAUAAUUCAGCUCCUGGAUAUAUCUAAUAUUAAUAUUACACUUUUUUUUUAAUCAUGCUCUUGGAUUAUAUCUAUCUAAUAUUAAUUAUGCUUCUUUAAAAUUAUGCUCUUGGAUUGUAUCUAUAUUUAUAUGAACUGUAUAGUUAUUUUAUUAUUUUUUUCAUAUAUGCAAAGAAGUUUAAAAAAUACGGGUAACAUUCCUUGGGACAAUUUUUUUUUUAACAUUUCUUUAUUAUUUUAUGGUAACAAGUUUAUUGAGGUUGAAUGAAUCCGUAGCUAACAAGUUGUGAAAUAAUUGUAGAGGUUUGUGCCAUCAGACUAUGGAAAUGAAGUAGACAGAAUAACAAGUGCACUUCCACCAUUUGAAGUUUUACUAGCUAACAAAAGGAAGAUCAGAAGGGCAGCAGAAGCAGUUGGACUCUCUUACACUUACGUUGCUGCAAAUACAUUUUUAGUAUAUUUUAUUGACUGUCUUCUUCACCCACAUGAGUAACCAAAUGAACUUGUGGUUUAUGGGACUGGCCAAGUCAAGGUUAAGUACGUAUGUAACCUUAUUGGAAAUUGUAGACAUCGGUUUUGUCUGGAUCUACUGUUUUCAUUUCAGUAUAAUAUUAAUAAUUUUAAUAAUAAUAAUAAUAAUUUUAAAAAAUAAAUAAUAAUUAAUUAUAUAAAUAAAUAAUAAAUAAAUAAAUAACAAAAAAAUAAAAAAAGAGAAAAAGUAGGGUGGCUGGCACUGCUGUCGCCCCCAACUAGCCACCCUACAGCCCUCUGUUGCAGCCCCCGACCAACCACCCUACAGCCCUCUGUUCAGCACACCUACAACCACAUUACAGCUACCCAGAUCCCCUUUUGAACCCCUUAAAAACUCUCAACUUCUUCCCUUACACUCUUUCGGACCUCCUCUCAAAAAACUCUCUUGAACCCCCCUCUCAAAAGCUCUCUCGGACGCCCAGGAGCCUAUUCACUUCACCCCUACC